GUCUCGUUCAGCAAAAUGAACGAAUCUUUUUUCGAGUCAUUUCAAAUGAACGAACAACCAGAAGGUUCAGGAAGAAAAAAACAAAGUGCUUGCAGUCUGUUUCACAUUAGGAGGCAUUUUGCUGCAUAAUCGAUCCACCACAAACCAUAUACAACUAUGGAAGCUCAACUUCCAUUAAAUGGACUGAAAACGCUCAAGUAACGUUAUAGGUCUCAAAACGCUUGCUCUGCGCCAGUGAAUACACACCAUAGACAGUAAAAGAAAUAUGUGCAUGUCACAGACUCUCUGGGCAUGCACUUCCGCGUUUCAGAGAUCCGCCUUUUACUUUCCGUCAACAUUACAUUAAUUAACGUUUAGAAAAUAGAUUUUUGACAUUUGUGAAUCAAUUAAGAAUCGUCUGCUUAUGCAUUGCGAUACAUUUAAGAAUCUAAUUUUUAUCCCACCCCUACUAAAUAUAGUAUAUAAUGUAAAUGUAAAAAUCUGAAAUACAAAAUAAUAAUAAUAAUAAUAAUAAAUAAAAUGGUAUAGGUAUUAAUUACUAUUGUGAUAUUGAUUGUUAUAGGAGACACUUUGAAAGUGAGCACUGGAUGCUGAGUAUUGAAGGCGAGGUGGUGUGUGAGGGCAUUCAGCCCAGUUUCCUGUCCGGCCUUGCCACUCUGUUUGCUGCUUAUUACUAGUUUAAUCUUGAGUAUCAGGAGGAAGCAGUGUGUACCUUGGAGUUCAUUCAAAGGUGCUUUGUGGGCAUAAAUCCAGAGAGAGGAUCCAAAGCCAAGGGAAAAGUGCCAUCGAAAUAAAAACAGGACAAGUGAUACAGAAGAAAAUGUGUGGCAGUCAACCCACAUGUUGCCACUCUUCUGUGCAAAUUCCAAUGGAAUUUCUGAAAUUCACACUUUGAAUCCUGGGAUUGAACUUCAUCUGGAGCAUAAUUGUUAUUUGGUUGAUUUUUAUCUGUUUGAUGGAAAGUUUGUAUGACUUCUGCAAGUGCGCGGCUCCUUCCGGUCAGUCAUGCAUCACUUUUUUUUGUAUGACUUGUUUGGCAAUAUUGGUCUAUUCUUUCUAUCUGAAAAUGUCUUUGUGGUUUUUAAAGGAUUAGUUCACCCAAAAAUGAAAAUUAAGUCAAUAAUUACUUAUGUCGUUCCACACCCGUAAGAUCUUCGUUCAUCCUCACAACACACAUUAAGAUGUGGCUCAGUGAAGCCUGCAUUUCUAGCAAGAUCAUUUUUUUUUUCAAUGCCCAGAAAGCCUCUAAAACAUUUAAAUUCAUGUGACUACAGUUGUUCAACCUAAAUAUUAUAAAGCGACGAGAAUACUUUUUUUGCCAACCCCCCAAAACAACGAUUUUAUUCAACCAUAUCUAGUGAUGGGCGGUCUCAAAACAGUGCUUCAUGAAGCUUAGAAGCUUUACGAAUCUUUUGUUUCAAAUCAUUUGCUCAGAACGUGUAUCAAACUGCAAAAGUCACAUGAACCAUUGAAAUUUCAAAACACUUAUGACAUAACGAAGCCUCAUUUACUGAAAUCAUGUGAGUUUGGCAGUUUGAUAUGCUCUGAUUUGAACUGAAAGAUUAA
This is a long non-coding RNA of Carassius gibelio (silver crucian carp), 1566 nucleotides long. RefSeq lists it as uncharacterized. NCBI's taxonomy places the organism in Eukaryota, Metazoa, Chordata, Actinopteri, Cypriniformes, Cyprinidae. The transcript is spliced from 3 exons. The record is from RefSeq and is a predicted model, not a curated record.